AGGUAGAGGGGUCUUAGUCGGUAGGUCCGAGGUCUUCUUCCUCGGGAAUCCGACACUCCCCAGUCGUACGGACGGCUGGGAGUCUUUUAAAGAUUUCCCCUCUUCC
Agrilus planipennis (emerald ash borer) is the source of this 106-nucleotide non-coding RNA. The record is from Rfam. Lineage: Eukaryota; Metazoa; Arthropoda; Insecta; Coleoptera; Buprestidae.